GAUGAAGAACGUAGCGAAAUGCGAUAAGUAAUGCGAAUUGCAGAAUCCGUGAGUCAUCGAAUCUUUGAACGCACAUUGCGCCCUCUGGUAUUCCGGAGGGCAUGCCUGUUCGAGCGUCAUUAUCACCCCUCAAGCCCGGCUUGUUGUUGGAUGCAGCACUCAUCCCGCUCCUCCCAAAGAUAAUGACGGCGUCUGCGACGACUCCUGUACACUGAGCUUUCGGGCACGUACACGGCUAGAAGUCCAGACCCGGUCGCCGUCCCCCCCACGGGACACCCAUUACCACAAGGUUGACCUCGGAUCAGGUAGGAAUACCCGCUGAACUUAAGCAUAUCAAUAAGCGGAGGA
This 348-nucleotide unclassified non-coding RNA is filed under the name soil metagenome. RNAcentral describes it as "partial contains 5.8S ribosomal RNA, internal transcribed spacer 2, and large subunit ribosomal RNA". The stretch from base 1 to 119 matches the Rfam family "5.8S ribosomal RNA", at positions 35 to 154 of the family's 154-position model. The record is from RNAcentral.